RNAcentral lists this ribosomal RNA (497 nucleotides) under uncultured bacterium. RNAcentral describes it as "partial 16S ribosomal RNA". It matches the Rfam family "Bacterial small subunit ribosomal RNA", at positions 28 to 507 of the family's 1533-position model. The record is from RNAcentral.
GAUGAACGCUGGCGGCGUGCCUAAUACAUGCAAGUCGAGCGAACAGACGAGGAGUUUGCUCCUCUGACGUUUUCGGCGGACGUGUGAGUCACACGUGUAUACCCUCUCUUUAAGACUGGGAUCACUUCGGGAAACCGGAUCUAACACCGGAUUAUUUAUUGAUCCGUGUGGUUCUAUUGUAAUCUCCGUUUUUGCUGUUACUUAUUGAUCGUUCCUCGUCGCAUUUGCUAGUUGGUAAGGCAACGGCUUACCAAGGCAACGCUGCGUAGCCGACCUAGGAGGGGGAUCGGCCACACUGGAACUGAGACACGGUCCAGACUCCUACGGGAGGCAGCAGUAGGGAAUCUUCCGAAAUGGGCGAAAGCCUGACGGAGAAAGGCCGCGUGAGUGAUGAAGGUCUUCGGAUGGAAAAACUCUGUUAAUAGGGAGGAACAGAUGUGUAGGUAAAAAUGCACGUCUUGACGGUACCUAAUCAGAAAGCGACGGCUAACUACGUG